This 71-nucleotide transfer RNA is filed under the name Anguilla anguilla (European eel). RNAcentral's name for it is "tRNA-OTHER". The record is from RNAcentral. Lineage: Eukaryota; Metazoa; Chordata; Actinopteri; Anguilliformes; Anguillidae.
GCACGGUGGUGCAGUGGAUGGCACUCUUGCCUCGUGGCAAGACGGUCCCGGGUCCAAAUCCGACUGUAGCA